UACGUAGGGAGCGAGCGUUGUUCGGAGUUACUGGGCGUAAAGGGUGUGUAGGCGGUUUUCUAAGUUUGGUGUGAAAUCUCCCGGCUCAACCGGGAGGGUGCGCCGAAAACUGGGAGACUAGAGUGCGGGAUGGGAGAGUAGAAUUCCUGGUGUAGCGGUGAAAUGCGUAGAUAUCAGGAGGAACACCGAUGGCGAAGGCAGGUCUCUGGGCAUUAACUGACGCUGAGGAGCGAAAGCAUGGGGAGCGAACAGG
Molecule: ribosomal RNA, 253 nt
Filed under: uncultured bacterium
Lineage: Bacteria
Description: partial 16S ribosomal RNA
Rfam family: Bacterial small subunit ribosomal RNA
Source: RNAcentral